Molecule: small RNA, 28 nt
Filed under: Bombyx mori (domestic silkworm)
Lineage: Eukaryota; Metazoa; Arthropoda; Insecta; Lepidoptera; Bombycidae
Description: piRNA piR-bmo-1634379
Source: RNAcentral
GACAUGCGAUUUUCUUUUUGGCCUCCGG